This 498-nucleotide ribosomal RNA is filed under the name uncultured bacterium. RNAcentral describes it as "partial 16S ribosomal RNA". It matches the Rfam family "Bacterial small subunit ribosomal RNA", at positions 28 to 507 of the family's 1533-position model. The record is from RNAcentral.
GACGAACGCUGGCGGCGUGCCUAAUACAUGCAAGUCGAGCGAACUUUUGGGAGCUUGCUGCCAUACGUUAGUGGCGAACGGGUGAGUAACACGUGGGUAACCUGCCUGUAAGACUGGGAUAACUUCGGGAAACCGGAGCUAAUACCGGAUAAGAUUGAAGGCUGCAUGGCCUUCAAUUAAAAGGUGCAUUUUAGCUACCACUUACAGAUGGACCCGCGGCGCAUGAGCUAGUUGGUGGGGUAACGGCUCACCAAGGCGACGAUGCGUAGCCGACCUGAGAGGGUGAUCGGCCACACUGGGACUGAGACACGGCACAGACGCCUACGGGAGGCAGCAGUAGGGAAUCUUCCGCAAUGGACGGAAGUCUGACCGAGCAACGCCGCGUGAGCGAAGAAGGUCUUCGGGUCGUAAAGCUCUGUUGUUAGGGAAGAACGAGUAUCGGUCUGAAAGGGUGAUACCGUGACGGUACCUAACCAGAAAGCCACGGCUAACUACGUG